CGCGUAGGCGGAUAUUUAAGUCGGAUGUGAAAUCCCUGGGCUUAACCUAGGAAUUGCAUUCGAUACUAUUUAUCUAGAGUAUGGUAGAGGAAAGUGGAAUUCUCGGUGUAGUGGUAAAAUACGUAGAUAUCGAGAAGAACACCAGUGGCGAAGGCGACUUUCUGGACCAAUACUGACGCUGAGGCGCGAAAGCGUGGGGAGCAAACAGGAUUAGAUACCCUGGUAGUCCACGCUGUAAACGAUGAGUGCUAGAUGUUGAUUGACUUCGGUCGAGCAGUAUCGCAGCUAACGCGUUAAGCACUCCGCCUGGGGAGUACGGUCGCAAGAUUAAA
RNAcentral lists this ribosomal RNA (332 nucleotides) under uncultured bacterium. Its description in RNAcentral is "bacterial SSU rRNA". It matches the Rfam family "Bacterial small subunit ribosomal RNA", at positions 568 to 898 of the family's 1533-position model. The record is from RNAcentral.